CAACACCAACGACGCAAACGACUGAAGUGAUGAAAACAUCAACUUUAAACACAACAGAACAAACAGUUUGUGCAGAUUGUUCUGCUCUGAGCUACAUAAUGUUGGUGAUGCGUGUGGCUGAACUCGUCCUCAUCACUGUUGUUACUGUUCUUCUCUUCAGAGCUCGAGCAGGGAACCAGAGACCACCUGAUGACCACACUGUGAGUUGAUGUAUAAAAUCAACUAAUAACGUCCAUGUUACUGUAAUGCAGGACUGUGAAUGUCUCACUGUUUGUGUUU
Molecule: long non-coding RNA, 279 nt
Organism: Scomber japonicus (chub mackerel)
Lineage: Eukaryota; Metazoa; Chordata; Actinopteri; Scombriformes; Scombridae
Exons: 3
Source: RefSeq, a predicted model, not a curated record